UUCGCCCUGGCGAAAGCGGUUACCACGACAGAAUCGAAAUCUGUUUCUCCUGGACUGCGCAGGUUCGAAACCUGCCGAUAAAU
Molecule: non-coding RNA, 83 nt
Organism: Suillus subaureus
Lineage: Eukaryota; Fungi; Basidiomycota; Agaricomycetes; Boletales; Suillaceae
Source: the annotation of a RefSeq genome assembly